RNAcentral lists this non-coding RNA (1390 nucleotides) under Thorea hispida. RNAcentral describes it as "mitochondrial SSU rRNA". It matches the Rfam family "Bacterial small subunit ribosomal RNA". Lineage: Eukaryota; Rhodophyta; Florideophyceae; Thoreales; Thoreaceae. The record is from RNAcentral.
AGAGUUUGAUCCUGGCUCAAAAUAAACAUUAGUAAUUGGCUUAACACAUGCAAGUUAAAAAUAUUAUAUUGUUUUUAGCGUACGGGUGAGUAAAACAUUUAAAUUAACCUUAUACCUAGUUCAAAAGCUAGUAUAAGAAAAGUUUAUGUAGGAUUAAGAUAGUUGGUAAAAUAAUGGUUUACCAAGUCCAUGAUCCUUAGCUGGUUUGUGAGAUCGAACAGCCACAUUGAAACUGAGAUACGGUUCAAACUUCUUUUGAAGGCAGCAGUGGGGAAUUUUAGGCAUUGAGCGAAAGCUUGACCUAGCUAAAUUACGUGUGUGAAGAAAGUUAUUAACUGUAAAACACUUUAUUUAUUUAGCAAUACUGAUAAAAAUAAAAAAAAGUCCUGGCUAAUCCUGUGCCAGCAGCCGCGGUAAAACAGGGAGGGCUAAUGUUAUUUGGAAUUAUUUGGCGUAAAGAAUAUGUAGAUUGAAAAUUAACUAAUAACUAAAAUUUUAAAUUUUAUUUUUAUUUCUGUUUAUUAAAGUGAUUUUCUAGAGUUUAUGUGGAAGAUUAUGGAACUUUAAAUGUAACGGUGAAAUGUAUUGAUAUUUAAAAGAACCUCGACAGUGAAAACAAUAAUCUAAAUUAAAACUGACGUUGAGAUAUGAAAGCAUGGGUAGCAACAGGGAUUAGAUACCCCUUUAGUCCAUAGCUGUCAACAAUGAAUGCUAUUUUUUGAAAAACAGAAAAGCAACUAACGUUUAAGCAUUCCGCCUGGGAACUACGAUCGCAAGAUUAAAACUCAAAGGAAUUGACGGGGACUUACACAAGUAGUGGAGCAUGUGGUUUAAAUCGAUAAUACACGCGAAACCUUACCAGUUUUUGUAAAUAGUACAUACGUAUACAUUAUAUAUUUUAUGUAUUACAGGAGUUGCAUGGCUGUCGUCAGCCCGUGCUGUAGAGUGUUUGAUUAAUUUCAAUAAACGGGCGAAACUUUUUCAUAUUUCUUAAAUAUUAAUAUGUACCGCUAAAAACACUUUAGAGGAAGGAAAAAUAACGUCAAGUCCGUAUGACCCUAAUAAGCUGGGCUACUCUCAUGUGCUACAAUAAUAUUAUUAAAUAAGAAGCAAAAAUGUUAAUUUAAGCAAAUCUAUAAAAAAUAUUAUAUGAAUUAUUAUCUGCAAUUUGAUAAUAUAAAAAUGGAAUUACUAGUAAUCGUAAAUUAGAAUGUUACGGUGAAUACGUUCUUAAGUCUUGUACACACCGCCCGUCACACUGUGGAAAGUUUUUUUAUUGGAAGACUUUUAACUUUGUUAAAAGUUUACACUGAAAAGCAAACUAAAGUGAAGUCGUAACAAGGUAGCCGUAGAGGAAUCUGUGGCUGGAAUUUAAAUAAUCUAAUUUUUA